AAGGUUUUAAGUUAACAAAACUUUUAACCUUCAAAGUUAACAUUAAAUAUAUAUAUAUUUAAACCUUA
RNAcentral lists this transfer RNA (68 nucleotides) under Prolachesilla sp. PrspLA. RNAcentral describes it as "tRNA-Trp". The record is from RNAcentral. Lineage: Eukaryota; Metazoa; Arthropoda; Insecta; Psocodea; Lachesillidae.